AUUUAGAAUUCCUCUCAGGAUUAUGGGGCAUGGGCAUGUCCAGGAUGUCCAGGAAAAGAGUAGAAAGAAUAAGACAGAAAGUCCCUAGCAGCUGGACCUCUAACUUACUAGUGUCUCUUAUGUAAUAGAAUGGAGUCCAUGCCUGCCAAAGAAUUUGUGAAACCAUCAAGGACAGAAUGUCUUGAUCACCCUUACCCAAAGUGAUCGGCAAAAUAUCUGAGAAUUACUGAAUCCUAACAAUUGCACCUGGUAGUCAACUUGGACACUCAUGUGGGCCUCCCCUCGUCCUGGGAAGGUAUCUGAAGUGUUAGAGUCAAGGUGCCCUCCCAACAUUGCUACCCAGGAACCAGGAAAGGAUACACUGAUGGAUAAGGAAAAAUACAGUUUCACUCAAAUGCAUCAGAGGCAUGUGAACCAGAGCAACUCCAUCUUGAAUGGACCUGGGUAAGAUGAGGCUGAGAUCUACUGGGCUCCAUUCCCAGAUGAUUAAGGCAUUCUAAGUCACAGGAUGAGAUAGGAGUUUGGCACAAAAUACAGGUCAUAAAGAUCUUGCUGAUAAAACAGUUUGCAGUAAAGAAGCCAGCUCUAACCCAUCAAAACCAGGAUGGCCAUAAGAGUGACCUCUGGUCAUCCUCACUACUCCCACCAGCGCUGUAACAGUUGACAAAUGUGAUGGCAACAUCAGGAAGUUACCUUAUAUCGACUAAAAAAGGGAAACAUGAAUAAUCCACCCCUUGUUUAGCAUAUCAUCAAGAAAUAACCAUAAAAAUGGUCAACCAGCUGCCCUAAGGGCUGCUCCUUCUAUGUAGUAGCCAUUCUUUUAUUCCUUCACUUUCUUAAUAAACUUGCUUUCACUUU
Molecule: long non-coding RNA, 858 nt
Filed under: Callithrix jacchus (white-tufted-ear marmoset)
Lineage: Eukaryota; Metazoa; Chordata; Mammalia; Primates; Cebidae
Description: lncRNA (ENSCJAG00000072918.1)
Source: RNAcentral